RNAcentral lists this ribosomal RNA (505 nucleotides) under uncultured Geobacter sp. Its description in RNAcentral is "bacterial SSU rRNA". It matches the Rfam family "Bacterial small subunit ribosomal RNA", at positions 335 to 831 of the family's 1533-position model. Lineage: Bacteria; Pseudomonadati; Thermodesulfobacteriota; Desulfuromonadia; Geobacterales; Geobacteraceae. The record is from RNAcentral.
ACUCCUACGGGAGGCAGCAGUGGGGAAUUUUGCGCAAUGGGGGAAACCCUGACGCAGCAACGCCGCGUGAGUGAUGAAGGCCUUCGGGUCGUAAAGCUCUGUCAGAGGGGAAGAAAAGCAGGGGUGCUAAUACCAUUUCUGCUUGACGGUACCCUCAAAGGAAGCACCGGCUAACUCCGUGCCAGCAGCCGCGGUAAUACGGAGGGUGCGAGCGUUGUUCGGAAUUAUUGGGCGUAAAGCGCGUGUAGGCGGCUCCUUAAGUCUGAUGUGAAAGCCCCGGGCUCAACCUGGGAAGUGCAUUGGAAACUGGGGAACUUGAAUACGGGAGAGGGUAGUGGAAUUCCUAGUGUAGGAGUGAAAUCCGUAGAUAUUAGGAGGAACACCGGUGGCGAAGGCGGCUACCUGGACCGAUAUUGACGCUGAGACGCGAAAGCGUGGGGAGCAAACAGGAUUAGAUACCCUGGUAGUCCACGCCGUAAACGAUGAGAACUAGGUGUUGCGGGUA